Molecule: long non-coding RNA, 1449 nt
Filed under: Nicotiana benthamiana
Lineage: Eukaryota; Viridiplantae; Streptophyta; Magnoliopsida; Solanales; Solanaceae
Description: long non-coding RNA (NBEN_LNC035095)
Source: RNAcentral
UGUAUUUUCCAAUACUUUUUCAUAUAGAGAUCGUGCCUUAGACCCUACAUUUUUCGUAAAAAUCCUGUUUUAGAUUCUGCAUAUAUAUCAUAUAGAAAACCUGCCUAUAGGACUGCAUAAUCUCUGUGUUUUUGCAUUUAGAAAAUUUUCCUAUAGGACUGCAUAAUCUCUGCAUUUUUGCAUUUAGAAAAUAUGUCUAUAGGAUAUUUUUAUAAUUCUGCAUUUCAGCAUCUAGAAAGCAUGCCUAUAAGGCUUUCUGUACUUCUGCAUACAUGCGCCACUAGGCAAACCACUUUAGGCUUAGUAAUAAUCAAUCCAUUUAGAGAUCAUGUCUAUAGGACUCUUGCAACUGUUAAAGUAAUGACACUUAGAGACCAUGCCUAUAUGACUAAAUUAACUGAAUCAAUUUCAUUUUGGAAUCUACAAGCAGUCUUAAAAUCUGUAGAUCUUUUCUAAAAUCGGUAAACUUUUCUUUAAAAUCGACAUAUUAUACAUUAUUAGAUAUCCUGUCUAUAAGUUUCACCUAGGCAAGCCAGUAGGUAAUUUAUUAACAAUCUCAGUUUUAAUAACUACAUCUAGUCAGGGCUGAUUCGGACUCCAAAUAUGUGACAAAAUCAGCCCGUCCUACACUUUGUUUAUUUAAAUAUCUAAUCAGUAUUUGCAAGUCAUGCUAAAUAAUUUGCCAUUUUGAAUAAGGAGGCCCACUUGAGCCUUAUAUCUUUAUCGAAGUAAAUUAGGAUCAAAAGUUAUUUGUGGAACCAAUCCAUGUGUGCUCAAAUACUCUGCAUAUGCUUGAGUAAAUACUAUAAUGAAGCAGGAGGUUGUUCAACAAAGAAUUUUAAUUCCUGCAUACAGAUACCACAACAGUAAAUACAUGCUUGAAAUACAGAUAAGUACAACUAGGUGGUUACAAUACUUUCAUUGUAUUCAAAAUAAGUGGUUUCUGAAUUUAUAUACAGGUAUAUACAAGUAUAUUUGAAUACAUUAUUUACAUUGUAUUCAAAAUACAGUAGAGACAAGAUACGAAGCUUGAAUCAUGAGAAUAGUUGAUAUAUUAUUGUUGGUGUAUUCAAAAUAGUUAUUUUCUGAAUUCAAGUACAUAUAAAUACAACUACAUAUACAACCAAAAAAAAUCUUGUACGAACUAAAUUUAUUGUGAGAGGACAAAUACCCAGAUUCUCCAAACGUAUAAUGUAUAAAACAAUAAAAAUUGAUUCGAUGUACGUGAUAAUGUCAUUUAUAGAUUUAAUCCUUAAUUUUGUUAUUCGAAAUGUCAAAUAGCUCCUUUAGACUUGCUCAAUUUGCAUGCGCAGUCUGUGACUUUUUCUAGAAGGUUCUUAUGUAAAAAAUUGAAUAAAAGGUGAAAUCGUGCCAUAAAACUUAUUUGAGUUGACUUCUGUCAAUAUUUUGAGCAAACAAAUUUGGAUCAUUAUUUUGACGGCCUCGAUG